This 349-nucleotide ribosomal RNA is filed under the name Macrococcoides caseolyticum. RNAcentral describes it as "bacterial SSU rRNA". It matches the Rfam family "Bacterial small subunit ribosomal RNA", at positions 22 to 358 of the family's 1533-position model. The record is from RNAcentral. Lineage: Bacteria; Bacillati; Bacillota; Bacilli; Caryophanales; Staphylococcaceae.
GCUCAUGAUGAACGCUGGCGGCGUGCCUAAUACAUGCAAGUCGAGCGAACGGACGAGAGUGCUUGCACUCUUUGAUGUUAGCGGCGGACGGGUGAGUAACACGUGGGUAACCUACCUAUAAGACUGGGAUAACUUCGGGAAACCGGAGCUAAUACCGGAUAAUAUUUUUCUCUGCAUGGAGGAAUAGUGAAAGACGGUUUUGCUGUCACUUAUAGAUGGACCCGCGGUGUAUUAGCUAGUUGGUGAGGUAACGGCUCACCAAGGCAACGAUACAUAGCCGACCUGAGAGGGUGAUCGGCCACACUGGGACUGAGACACGGCCCAGACUCCUACGGGAGGCAGCAGUAGG